ACCGGACGCGCCCGCUUCUCGCUGGAGUGCGCACCGAGCGGCAGUGACUUCGCCGCUGCUGUAGUUCCCCGGCUGGAUGCGGUGACUGGUGCCAGUGCUCAGGCGCCCGCUGCCCUUGACCUCCCGCCCCGCGAGCCCUAACUCAGCGCAGGAGGACCGGCUGCCGCCGCCGCCGCCGCCAGAUCCACACAACUUAAAGAUCUGCUGUCGAGUGAAUGGGGAAGUGGUCCAGAGCAGCAACACCAACCAGAUGGUAUUCAAGACAGAGGACCUGAUAGCCUGGGUGUCCCAGUUUGUUACCUUUUACCCAGGGGAUGUCAUCCUGACUGGGACCCCCCCACCUCCACCCAGGUGUCGGUGUAUUCAGGAAACCUCCUGUCUUUCUCAAGGUCUCUGAAGGUCCAGACAGCACUGAUGGCGAGCUUUGGGUCCGCACACUCUGGAAAGAAGAGAGAAGUGAAGGCUCUAGGUAGGGAGAACAGAGAGCCACUGGGCACAGGCUUCUCUCCUCUUGUUUAAAGAAGCCCAGGGAGGGAUAGAGCUCUGACUGGACAGAAGACUGUACUCUGCAGCCUGCCUUCCUAGAGUUGGGUUGUCACUGUCCUGCAGGGGGCAGCAGCCACCAGCAAACACCACUGCCUGCAGGAGCCUGGGCUGACUGGUUGGGACUCACCGAAGAUCCCUUCUUCCUGGGCGGUGGCCUGCAGGAACUGGAACAGCUGCUCUGUGUAGCCCAACUCUGCAGAAGAGAGAAGACCUAGACCUGGCACCCAGCACAGACACAGCCUGCCUCGAGGACUGCAAGGGAACAAGGGCCUCACCAGUAUCGGGCAGCUGGCCCUGGCGGAGGAAGGCGGCAGCCUGUGCAAAGGCCUUGAGCAGCGGGCUGAGCAGGCGGCAGAGGAAAAGAAAGAAAUCUGGGCAGUGUGACUGCUGGCUGAGCUGGAGGGGACAGGCCGGGGUGA
Molecule: long non-coding RNA, 965 nt
Filed under: Homo sapiens (human)
Lineage: Eukaryota; Metazoa; Chordata; Mammalia; Primates; Hominidae
Description: long non-coding RNA NONHSAT072530.2
Source: RNAcentral